This 231-nucleotide long non-coding RNA is filed under the name Carica papaya (papaya). Its description in RNAcentral is "long non-coding RNA (CPAP_LNC001692)". The record is from RNAcentral. Lineage: Eukaryota; Viridiplantae; Streptophyta; Magnoliopsida; Brassicales; Caricaceae.
CCGGGUCCGUAGGGAACCCUACCGGGAUUGUGGUCUCACAUGCCGGACGGGGUAUGGAGAUCUUACGGUUUUGGCGCCCAUACCGGACGGGGUAUGGAGACGGCCCGUUUCACCCUCAUACCGGACGGGGUAUUGAGAUUUAUGGUUUUGGCGCUCAUACCGGACGGGGUAUGGGGACGGCCCGUUUCACCCUCAUACCGGACGGGGUAUUGAGGUUCAUGGUUUUGGCGC